GACGAACGCUGGCGGCGUGCUUAACACAUGCAAGUCGAACGGAAAGGCCCUGCUUUUGUGGGGUGCUCGAGUGGCGAACGGGUGAGUAGCACGUGAGUAACCUGCCCUUGACUUUGGGAUAACUUCAGGAAACUGGGGCUAAUACCGGAUAGGAGCUCCUGCUGCAUGGUGGGGGUUGGAAAGUUUCGGCGGUUGGGUAUGGACUCGCGGCAUAUCAGCUUGUUGGUGGGGUAGUGGCUUACCAAGGCUUUGACGGGUAGCCGGGCUGAGAGGGUGACCGGACACAUUGGGACUGAGAUACGGCACAGACUCCUACGGGAGGCAGCAGUGGGGAAGAGUGCACAAUGGGCGGAAGCCUGAUGCAGCAACGCCGCGUGCGGGAUAACGGCCUUCGGGUUGUAUAGCGCUUUCGCUUGUGACGAAGCGUGAGUGACGGUAAUGGGUAAAGAAGCACCGGCUAACUACGUG
This 468-nucleotide ribosomal RNA is filed under the name uncultured bacterium. Its description in RNAcentral is "partial 16S ribosomal RNA". It matches the Rfam family "Bacterial small subunit ribosomal RNA", at positions 28 to 507 of the family's 1533-position model. The record is from RNAcentral.